Molecule: long non-coding RNA, 270 nt
Organism: Sphaeramia orbicularis (orbiculate cardinalfish)
Lineage: Eukaryota; Metazoa; Chordata; Actinopteri; Kurtiformes; Apogonidae
Exons: 2
Source: RefSeq, a predicted model, not a curated record
GUUUAACAGGUUUUUACUAAACAAGACACUCAGAAUGUACAUCAAUAAGAGAUUUAGGAUGUUGAACAUGAACUGUGAACUGGAACACACUGAACAACAACAUGUGUUUGAAUUUUGACCCAGGAGUUUUUGUUUCUAAAUCAGUUCAGAUACUUUUUGGCACCUGGUUGAACUCCAAAAAGCAGUUACGCAGUCAAAACUCAGUAAAAACACAGUAAAAAAUAAAUAAAUAAAUAAAGGAAAAAUCACCACAACACUGCAAACAACAGU